RNAcentral lists this ribosomal RNA (292 nucleotides) under uncultured bacterium. Its description in RNAcentral is "partial 16S ribosomal RNA". It matches the Rfam family "Bacterial small subunit ribosomal RNA", at positions 505 to 796 of the family's 1533-position model. The record is from RNAcentral.
GUGCCAGCCGCCGCGGUAAGACAGAGGGUGCAAACGUUGCUCGGAAUCACUGGGCGUAAAGGGCGUGUAGGCGGGAAUGUAAGUCGGGCGUGAAAUCCCUAGGCUCAACCUAGGAACUGCACUCGAAACUGCGUUUCUUGAGUAUCGGAGAGGAAAGCGGAAUACCUGGUGUAGAGGUGAAAUUCGUAGAUAUCAGGUGGAACACCAGUGGCGAAGGCGGCUUUCUGGACGAUAACUGACGCUGAGACGCGAAAGCGUGGGGAGCAAACAGGAUUAGAAACCCGCGUAGUCC